RNAcentral lists this ribosomal RNA (253 nucleotides) under uncultured bacterium. Its description in RNAcentral is "partial 16S ribosomal RNA". It matches the Rfam family "Bacterial small subunit ribosomal RNA", at positions 524 to 776 of the family's 1533-position model. The record is from RNAcentral.
UACGUAGGUGGCGAGCGUUGUCCGGAUUUACUGGGCGUAAAGAGCGCGCAGGCGGUCUUGUAAGUCGAAUGUGAAAGCCCCUGGCUCAACCGGGGAGAGUCAUUCGAUACUGCUCGACUCGAAGGCAGGAGAGGGAAGUGGAAUUCCCGGUGUAGUGGUGAAAUGCGUAGAUAUCGGGAGGAACACCAGUGGCGAAGGCGACUGUCUGGCCUGUUCUUGACGCUGAGGCGCGAAAGCUAGGGUAGCGAACGGG